GGAUGUGAGGGCAAUCUGGCUGCGAUAUCUGUCACCCUUUUGUUCACCAAGGUUGAUUAGGCUGAUCUGGCUAGGCGGGUGUCCCCUUCCUCCCUCACUGCUCCAUGUGCGUCCUUCUCAAAGCGAAUCCCCUGCAGGUGGGGAGCUGGGAGAUCGAACAGGGAUCCUUAAGCUGGUCAUGCGCUUAACACGAUGCGCUACCACUUGACUCUCGUUAUUAUAACACUUCUUAAGUGAUACCAGGUUUCAAACCUGGCAAGUCACAAGCCUUACUUGGUUUGGGCAGCUAUCUCUCUAGUUCUACCAUAUUC
Erinaceus europaeus (western European hedgehog) is the source of this 311-nucleotide non-coding RNA. The record is from Rfam. NCBI's taxonomy places the organism in Eukaryota, Metazoa, Chordata, Mammalia, Eulipotyphla, Erinaceidae.